UAGAUUUAACCCUAAUCAGGUAUCGUUAAAUAUCGUUAAAUCGUCGAGAACGUUCUGUCAGACGAUCAAACGAUAACUAUUCAACAAGUCGGUAAAUCACAUCGAAAACCCAAGUUCUGGUCGCAGUGAGAAGCUCUGGAUGCCUUGAGGAGGGUUCACCAGCUCUGCUUCAACAACGUUGACAUGGGACCAGUAAAGCUGCAAGACUUUGUCGGCCAGUCAAAAGUGGACGCUGCAAUCCAAGGUGAAACUUUCUUUCUCAUGGUGGGGCACACGCAUGAAGAUUUGGAUCAACUGUUAAGUGUUUAGUGCAAGGGAACUUAGACAGAAGCCUGCAACAACCCGCGAUGCCCUCCUUCAAGAUUGGGGACAUCCGGACACCCACCACCAAGCUAUCAGACUUCAAGCCCUUCAUGCCUGCCCCAAGGGAAGCGACAACCCUCCCAACUAAAGUUCAAGAGGCAAUAGAGAAGAACAAUGAAAAACUGCAAAAACAAUCAAAGAUCACUCUGACAAAGCACCGAAGACAAGCGUCAGUAUCAGAACAAUAAAGAAG
Long non-coding RNA from Haliotis rufescens (red abalone), 556 nucleotides. RefSeq lists it as uncharacterized. NCBI's taxonomy places the organism in Eukaryota, Metazoa, Mollusca, Gastropoda, Lepetellida, Haliotidae. The transcript has 4 exons. The record is from RefSeq and is a predicted model, not a curated record.